UACGGACAGUGCCUGGUGGGUAGUUUGACUGGGGCGGUCUCCUCCCAAAGAGUAACGGAGGAGCACGAAGGUGGGCUAAACACGGUUGGACAUCGUGUGGUUAGUGCAAUGGCAUAAGCCCGCUUGACUGCGAGAAUGACAAUUCGAGCAGGUGCGAAAGCAGGUCAUAGUGAUCCGGUGGUUCUGAAUGGAAGGGCCAUCGCUCAACGGAUAAAAGGUACUCCGGGGAUAACAGGCUGAUACCGCCCAAGAGUUCAUAUCGACGGCGGUGUUUGGCACCUCGAUGUCGGCUCAUCACAUCCUGGGGCUGAAGUCGGUCCCAAGGGUAUGGCUGUUCGCCAUUUAAAGUGGUACGCGAGCUGGGUUUAGAACGUCGUGAGACAGUUCGGUCCCUAUCUGCCGUGGGCGUUGGAAAAUUGAAAGGGGCUGCUCCUAGUACGAGAGGACCGGAGUGGACGAACCUCUGGUGUUCGGGUUGUCAUGCCAAUGGCAUUGCCCGGUAGCUAAGUUCGGAAUCGAUAACCGCUGAAAGCAUCUAAGCGGGAAGCGAGCCUUGAGAUGAGUUUUCCCUGACGCUAUAAGCGUCCUAAAGGGUUGUCGUAGACUACGACGUUGAUAGGCAGGGUGUGUAAGUGCUGCGAGGCAUUGAGCUAACCUGUACUAAUUGCCCGUGAGGCUUAACCAUACAACACCCAAGGGGUUU
This 703-nucleotide ribosomal RNA is filed under the name Vibrio sp. 10N.286.46.E10. RNAcentral describes it as "bacterial LSU rRNA". It matches the Rfam family "Bacterial large subunit ribosomal RNA", at positions 2246 to 2925 of the family's 2925-position model. The record is from RNAcentral. Lineage: Bacteria; Pseudomonadati; Pseudomonadota; Gammaproteobacteria; Vibrionales; Vibrionaceae.